Molecule: unclassified non-coding RNA, 1791 nt
Filed under: Orbicella faveolata
Lineage: Eukaryota; Metazoa; Cnidaria; Anthozoa; Scleractinia; Merulinidae
Description: ras-like protein family member 11B, transcript variant X1
Source: RNAcentral
UGUCAUAGACAAUUUUCUUUCGUAGCUUUUUUUUCGACCGCCAAAAUGAAAACAGGUCAUUCAAUUCUGUUUUGACUUUAGCUAACUGAGCUUUAUAGCAAAACAAGGAAGUAAGAGGAUUGUCGGUGGAAAGAUUUUGGACGACGUCUCAAACAGACGUUUGGUUUGAUUCGUUCAACAAUCUCCUUCUGUUAACCCUACUUCGUUCCAGUCGCCUACGUACUAAUUAUAAUCCGCUAAUUAAUCAGUCAGAUUAGCGAUCAAGAUAAGCCGUCAUGUCAUAACUUUAUCACAACUUGUGAGAGAGUUUCAGGGUAAGACUAGUGAUUGAAAACUUGGAAAUGAGGUGGCAUUAAAAAAGAUACAGGAUAGAUACAAGUUUUAAGACGACUAGCAGAUCCAAGAAAGAAUACGACAAAAUGCAAGAAGGUGCCGUGCGGAAGACGACAACAUUCUCUACCGUCUCCAUUUGUCCGAACCCCGCCCAGAAGGUUAAGGACUCUGAGUCUUGUGCUGUUUGCAUUCUAAAUAGCUCCAGGAGGGCUGAUCUUUACUAUAACAACUUUGGAUAUUUUUUCCCAUUAAAUCGAUCACUAAAAGGAAAACUGCGGCAUGACCUUACGCCCUCGGUAUCAAUGACAAUCGAUGAAAACGAGCCGGUAUUCAACACACAAUGAGGCUUAAAGCGGAACUCAAACGCCUUCGGUUCCAAGUCAGAUCUUCCACUAUUGUUGAACUUGACUUCUGUCCAACCUAAACUACUUGCAAGGAAGCGAGCAACUUCUUAAUCCAGUUAUACAAACCGCAGACGUUUGCUGCGACAAUUUUCUCUGUUUACGGGGCGCCUUGAAUUAAAUUCUACAACUAUCACGUGGAACAAUGCAGAGUAGAGGCGAAGCCACUGGCAGACGAAUGUCAUUUCCACAAGACAAUCACGGCCACUUAUUCCAACGAAGCAGGCCUCGGAAUCUUAGCAUUGGGUCAAAUAACAACAUCGAGGAGGAAAAUAGAAUCAUUCGUGCCGCCGUGUUGGGAAAAGAUGGCGUCGGAAAGACAGCUUUUACAGUACGUCUGUUGACACGUCGCUUCAUUGGUGAUUAUGAUGGAACUUUAGGUAAGUUGAAGAUUUGUAAUCAUUACUUCUCGGCAACAAAUUAAAGACACCUUCUGUCGACCACCAUCAGUUCGUGAAACUGCAAGGCAAAUGUGACGUGACCAAAGAACGGGUUAGGUCAAGAUGAUCCAAGUUCUAAGAUACUAACGAUAGCAGUUCUAAGCAAAAAGUUCUGCUCACUAGCUUUUUUCGAGACCGAUUCGGUUAACGUGUUAACAUCCUCGUUACUAUCCAAUUCAGAUCACGUGAUGAUUCAAUUGGAACAAAUGUGCAAUUUGCCACACGCAACGGAUUGCAUGGCAGCAGAUCAUUUUCUCUUGAUGGGAGUAUGUACAAACUGAAUAAUUGUUACCUCUCAAAUGAAUCAUCACGUGGUCUGAAUGGGGCGGCAACAAGGGUGUAAACACGCCAGCCGAAUCCGUCAUUCUGCUAGGCACAUUUAAGUCCAAAGACCCAAAGUGAGAAUUACUAUACACCGUUAGCAUGUCACAAUCAAGUUCUAUGCAUAUGUAAAUGCUGUUCAACAGCUAUUGACACACAGACUUGCACACACAGAAAGUACUGCUCAAUAGCUUUCAAUAGGUCAUGUUCGAUAUAAUAUCAAUAAUCUAACAUCGAUCCGAGGCUUUCGGGUAAAAAUUGCAACUUUGUUAAGUUUCUUUUGUCUCUCAGUUUCC